CUCACUAUGUCAAUGUCACCACAACUCCCGAGACCCGCCCCGUGCUGGAAGCUUUUGAUUCUUAGUCUGAGGAGGAGAGAAACAGAACACUAGACUUCAGGACACAACUAUGGAAAUGAUGUCAGACAAAAAGCACAUUUGAGCAAUUUUCUUAUUUGAGCUCAAAAUGGGUCAAAAAGCAGCAGAGACAACUUGUGACAAUGCAUUUGGCCUACAAACUGCUAACGAACGUACAGUGCUGUGGUGGUUCAAGGAGUUCUGCAAAGGAGAUGAGAGCCUCGAAAAUGAGGAGCCUAGUGGCCAGCCAUUGGAAGUCAUCACCGACCAAUUGAGAGCAAUCAUGGAAACUCAUCCCCUUACAGCUACCCAAGAAGUUGCCAAAGAACUCAAUGUUGACCAUUUGAUGGUCAUUCAAUUUUUGAAGCAAAUUGCAAAGGUGAAAAACUUCGAUAAGUGGGUGCCUCA
Chlorocebus sabaeus (green monkey) is the source of this 465-nucleotide non-coding RNA. NCBI's taxonomy places the organism in Eukaryota, Metazoa, Chordata, Mammalia, Primates, Cercopithecidae. The record is from RefSeq and is a predicted model, not a curated record.